UAGCAGUUUUUUAAUGUACCAACUUUAGUAUAUGUUAAGAUGUGUGUAUUCAGUCAUCCACAGUAAGCUUAAUGGCGAGGGUCCUGGCCUGGGAAGUACAAUUGUGGUUAAACAGAAGAAAUUCCUGUGCUUUCCUGAUUGUAGAAAAGUCACUGGUAGUAGAGCUCAUUUCAAAAUACAACAUACAGAAGAAGAGUUGGAAUGGAAUUGCCUUGUUUGGGUAUGUUAAGCCAAGACUAGACUUCACAUACUAUAUUCCUGAAGACAUCACACACCUUGACUGCUGGACAUAAAGAAAUUAAUCUCAAAACAGGUUUCAAGAUGUUUGCCUCAAGAGCAACAAGCAAGAUUGUGAGGGACCAUAACGAGUGAAAUUAUCCCAAAAUUUAAAAAGCCACUGAGUAGUCACCAUGCAGUCUAGCUUGGCAUGCG
Arvicola amphibius (Eurasian water vole) is the source of this 432-nucleotide long non-coding RNA. RefSeq lists it as uncharacterized. The transcript has 3 exons. The record is from RefSeq and is a predicted model, not a curated record. Lineage: Eukaryota; Metazoa; Chordata; Mammalia; Rodentia; Cricetidae.